UGCAGGAUGACGGCCCUAUGGGUUGUAAACUGCUUUUAUAAGGGAAUAAAGUGAGCCUCGUGAGGCUUUUUGCAUGUACCUUAUGAAUAAGGACCGGCUAAUUCCGUGCCAGCAGCCGCGGUAAUACGGAAGGUCCGGGCGUUAUCCGGAUUUAUUGGGUUUAAAGGGAGCGUAGGCCGGAGAUUAAGCGUGUUGUGAAAUGUAGAUGCUCAACAUCUGCACUGCAGCGCGAACUGGUUUCCUUGAGUACGCACAAAGUGGGCGGAAUUCGUGGUGUAGCGGUGAAAUGCUUAGAUAUCACGAAGAACUCCGAUUGCGAAGGCAGCUCACUGGAGCGCAACUGACGCUGAAGCUCGAAAGUGCGGGUAUCGAACAGGAUUAGAUACCCUGGUAGUCCGCACGGUAAACGAUGGAUGCCCGCUGUUGGUCUGAAUAGGUCAGCGGCCAAGCGAAAGCAUUAAGCAUCCCACCUGGGGAGUACGCCGGCAACGGUGCAACUCAAAGGAAUUGACGG
This 514-nucleotide ribosomal RNA is filed under the name uncultured Bacteroidota bacterium. RNAcentral describes it as "bacterial SSU rRNA". It matches the Rfam family "Bacterial small subunit ribosomal RNA", at positions 402 to 916 of the family's 1533-position model. Lineage: Bacteria; Pseudomonadati; Bacteroidota. The record is from RNAcentral.